Molecule: ribosomal RNA, 598 nt
Filed under: uncultured Alphaproteobacteria bacterium
Lineage: Bacteria; Pseudomonadati; Pseudomonadota; Alphaproteobacteria
Description: bacterial SSU rRNA
Rfam family: Bacterial small subunit ribosomal RNA
Source: RNAcentral
AACGAACGCUGNGCGGCAUGCUAACACAUGCAAGUCGAACGAGGGCUUCGGCCCUAGUGGCGCACGGGUGAGUAACGCGUGGGAACCUGCCCUGUGGUACGGAAUAACUCCGGGAAACUGGAGCUAAUACCGUAUGUGUCCUGCGGGACAAAGAUUUAUCGCCAUGGGAUGGGCCCGCGUAGGAUUAGCUUGUUGGUGGGGUAACGGCCUACCAAGGCAACGAUCCUUAGCUGGUCUGAGAGGAUGAUCAGCCACACUGGGACUGAGACACGGCCCAGACUCCUACGGGAGGCAGCAGUGGGGAAUAUUGGACAAUGGGCGCAAGCCUGAUCCAACAAUGCCGCGUGAGUGAUGAAGGCCUUCGGGUUGUAAAGCUCUUUCGCACGCGACGAUGAUGACGGUAGCGUGAGAAGAAGCCCCGGCUAACUUCGUGCCAGCAGCCGCGGUAAUACGAAGGGGGCUAGCGUUGUUCGGAAUUACUGGGCGUAAAGGGCGCGUAGGCGGUACUUCAAGUCAGGCGUGAAAGCCCCGGGCUCAACCUGGGAACCGCGCUUGAGACUGGAGAACUAGAGUUCGGGAGAGGAUGGUGGAAUUCCCA